RNAcentral lists this ribosomal RNA (1671 nucleotides) under Pseudomonas aeruginosa. RNAcentral's name for it is "bacterial LSU rRNA". It matches the Rfam family "Bacterial large subunit ribosomal RNA", at positions 1229 to 2879 of the family's 2925-position model. Lineage: Bacteria; Pseudomonadati; Pseudomonadota; Gammaproteobacteria; Pseudomonadales; Pseudomonadaceae. The record is from RNAcentral.
UAGAGGAGCGUUCUGUAAGCCUGUGAAGGUGAGUUGAGAAGCUUGCUGGAGGUAUCAGAAGUGCGAAUGCUGACAUGAGUAACGACAAUGGGUGUGAAAAACACCCACGCCGAAAGACCAAGGGUUCCUGCGCAACGUUAAUCGACGCAGGGUUAGUCGGUUCCUAAGGCGAGGCUGAAAAGCGUAGUCGAUGGGAAACAGGUUAAUAUUCCUGUACUUCUGGUUACUGCGAUGGAGGGACGGAGAAGGCUAGGCCAGCUUGGCGUUGGUUGUCCAAGUUUAAGGUGGUAGGCUGAAAUCUUAGGUAAAUCCGGGGUUUCAAGGCCGAGAGCUGAUGACGAGUCGUCUUUUAGAUGACGAAGUGGUUGAUGCCAUGCUUCCAAGAAAAGCUUCUAAGCUUCAGGUAACCAGGAACCGUACCCCAAACCGACACAGGUGGUCGGGUAGAGAAUACCAAGGCGCUUGAGAGAACUCGGGUGAAGGAACUAGGCAAAAUGGCACCGUAACUUCGGGAGAAGGUGCGCCGGCUAGGGUGAAGGAUUUACUCCGUAAGCUCUGGCUGGUCGAAGAUACCAGGCCGCUGCGACUGUUUAUUAAAAACACAGCACUCUGCAAACACGAAAGUGGACGUAUAGGGUGUGACGCCUGCCCGGUGCCGGAAGGUUAAUUGAUGGGGUUAGCGCAAGCGAAGCUCUUGAUCGAAGCCCCGGUAAACGGCGGCCGUAACUAUAACGGUCCUAAGGUAGCGAAAUUCCUUGUCGGGUAAGUUCCGACCUGCACGAAUGGCGUAACGAUGGCGGCGCUGUCUCCACCCGAGACUCAGUGAAAUUGAAAUCGCUGUGAAGAUGCAGUGUAUCCGCGGCUAGACGGAAAGACCCCGUGAACCUUUACUGUAGCUUUGCACUGGACUUUGAGCCUGCUUGUGUAGGAUAGGUGGGAGGCUUUGAAGCGUGGACGCCAGUUCGCGUGGAGCCAUCCUUGAAAUACCACCCUGGCAUGCUUGAGGUUCUAACUCUGGUCCGUAAUCCGGAUCGAGGACAGUGUAUGGUGGGCAGUUUGACUGGGGCGGUCUCCUCCUAAAGAGUAACGGAGGAGUACGAAGGUGCGCUCAGACCGGUCGGAAAUCGGUCGCAGAGUAUAAAGGCAAAAGCGCGCUUGACUGCGAGACAGACACGUCGAGCAGGUACGAAAGUAGGUCUUAGUGAUCCGGUGGUUCUGUAUGGAAGGGCCAUCGCUCAACGGAUAAAAGGUACUCCGGGGAUAACAGGCUGAUACCGCCCAAGAGUUCAUAUCGACGGCGGUGUUUGGCACCUCGAUGUCGGCUCAUCACAUCCUGGGGCUGAAGCCGGUCCCAAGGGUAUGGCUGUUCGCCAUUUAAAGUGGUACGCGAGCUGGGUUUAGAACGUCGUGAGACAGUUCGGUCCCUAUCUGCCGUGGACGUUUGAGAUUUGAGAGGGGCUGCUCCUAGUACGAGAGGACCGGAGUGGACGAACCUCUGGUGUUCCGGUUGUCACGCCAGUGGCAUUGCCGGGUAGCUAUGUUCGGAAAAGAUAACCGCUGAAAGCAUCUAAGCGGGAAACUUGCCUCAAGAUGAGAUCUCACUGGGAACUUGAUUCCCCUGAAGGGCCGUCGAAGACUACGACGUUGAUAGGCUGGGUGUGUAAGCGUUGU